RNAcentral lists this ribosomal RNA (357 nucleotides) under Macroxyela ferruginea. Its description in RNAcentral is "partial 12S ribosomal RNA". The record is from RNAcentral. Lineage: Eukaryota; Metazoa; Arthropoda; Insecta; Hymenoptera; Xyelidae.
UUAAAAUGUAAAUUUAUUAAACUUGAGUAGUAAUAGUUAUUUUCUUGAAACUUAAAGAAUUUGGCGGUGUUUUAGUCUUUUCAGAGGAACCUGUCCUGUAAUUGAUAUUCCACAAUAAUCUUACUUAAUUUUGUAUUCAAUUUGUAUACCGCCGUUAUCAGAAUAUUUUAAAAGAAUUUUUAAUUUUCGAGAUUUUUUAUAUAAAGUUAUUUCAGGUCAAGGUGCAGUUAAUAAUUAAGAAGAGAUGGGUUACAUUAAAAUAAUUUAUACGAAUUUUUAUUUGAAAAAAUAAAAUGAAGGUGGAUUUGAAAGUAAAAAAUAUUAUUUAAUAUUAUUGAUUAUAGCUCUAGAACAUGU